RNAcentral lists this ribosomal RNA (513 nucleotides) under uncultured bacterium. Its description in RNAcentral is "partial 16S ribosomal RNA". It matches the Rfam family "Bacterial small subunit ribosomal RNA", at positions 28 to 523 of the family's 1533-position model. The record is from RNAcentral.
GACGAACGCUGGCGGCAUGCCUAAUACAUGCAAGUCGAGCGAACAGAUGAAGUGCUUGCACUUCUGACGUUAGCGGCGAACGGGUGAGUAACACGUAAGGAAUCUACCUAUAAGCGGGGGAUAACAUUCGGAAACGGGUGCCAAUACCGCAUAAUAUCUUCUUCCGCAUGGAAGAAGAUUGAAAGACGGCUCUGCUGUCACUUAUAGAUGACCUUGCGGUGCAUUAGUUAGUUGGUGGGGUAAUGGCCUACCAAGACAAUGAUGCAUAGCCGACGUGAGAGGGGGAUCGGCCACAUUGGGACUGAGACACGGCCCAAACUCAUACGGGAGGCAGCAGUAGGGAAUCUUCCGCAAUGGGCGAAAGCCUGACUGAGCAAUGCCGCGUGAGUGAAGAAGGCCUUCGGGUCGUAAAACUCUGUUAUGAGAGAAGAACAAAUUGUAGAGUAACUGCUACAGUCUUGACGGUAUCUUAUCAGAAAGCCACGGCUAACUACGUGCCAGCCGCCGCCGUAA